Long non-coding RNA from Equus caballus (horse), 2120 nucleotides. The record is from Ensembl. NCBI's taxonomy places the organism in Eukaryota, Metazoa, Chordata, Mammalia, Perissodactyla, Equidae.
UACAAAAAAACUUCUUCACAUACUCCCUGCACUUCUUGAUAAGGUUAUUCUAACUUAUUUUGUGUAUGUUUCUAAUAUGGUGAAUGACCUCUUCUUUCAUUUAUAUUCUUCAUAUAUUCUUACAUUUUCUAAGUGAGAAUUAGCGGAAUAACAUAGUUAUUGUUAAAUGUCCUUCAUAUAUGCCAUUUUACUGAACUUUUUUUUAUUAUAAUACUUUUUUAGUUUAAUCACAUAUGUUUUACAGGGAUAUCUUCAAAUCUACAAAUAAUAAUGUUAUCUUCACUUGUCCAAAAUGUACAUACAGCUUAUUUCUAUUUCACUCUUAUUGCAUUAACCAGAACUUACAAAACAUUACAUGAUAAUGUGAUUUUGAGCAGAAUUAUCUAUUUUUAAACCUUUCCAUGUGACAAAAUGGAAAUAGUUUAAACACUUCCUAACUCACAUAUAAUUAAAUUCAAAACUAUGGGAGAAAUGAUCCUAAGAGAAGCUUGGAAGGUGGGAGGGAGACAAGGAUAUUCAGGAAUCUACAUAUGGGAAACUGAGAAGGAAGAGACACAGGGAAAAAGCUGGGGUCUGACAAUGUUAGCACGAAUGAGUAUACCAGACACUUCCCUGAAACCAGAUCUGGAGAGAGAAGUAAAGACUGAGUGAGAACGUCAGAGACAGCGUCGUGAAUCGGAUAUAAAGGCAAGGUGGCAGGCGCUGAGGAAGGAGAGAGUGGAUCAUAUACAACAAAUUUUGUCUUCCAUAUGAUUUCGCUUGGGAUCAAGCUUCAAAAUACAUAUGACAUGUUGUAUGGUGCUAAUUUUUGCUGAUAGCCAGAAUAAUGAGUUCACAUAUUUGAUCUCUGUAUUCCUAUUGUGAAGCAAGGGCAAAAUUUCAUUGUCACCAUCAUAGGCAUGGUCCAUUUAAUUCAUUAUGGGAAUGGGAGGGACAGUUUUUCUGAGGCAUUUGUGAUAAGAAUAAAGAUGAGGCUUAGAGUCAAAGCCACAAAUAAUUGAGAAAGACAGAAUGAGGUUUUUCUACAAGGACAGCUUGAAUUUUUUAAAUAGAAUCAAUGUAUUGGCAGAAUUUACUGGAAGAGGAGAGUUAAUUAGAAUUGACUACACAAUCACACUGAGAUAUACUUUCAUAAUAGAUGUCAGACCUGCAGAUAGAACUUGUACCCUAGAUUUUUUAAUUAAGUUGAGGUUAUUCUUCUGACAGAGGGAAGGCUCUCAAGAUGCAGGAAGAUGCUCCCCCCAAUUGACAGGCCUCUGAGAAGUUUAGUCUCUUUAUAGCUGGGAUGCAAGCACAAACAAAAAUUUACGUUCAUUUCUGGACUUCCAAAAGAGGCACUUGAAAUCCACCUCUGAAAAAACAGUCCUGAAAUCCAGGCUUUUGAUUGCAACUUCUGGGCCUUUGUGAUAAAAAGGGUGUUCUAAAUCCCAACAGCUUCCCUUUAAACAUGAAGGAAGCAGGCUUGGAGGUCAGAGCACAGUGAUUUUACUAUCAGCCACAGAGGAGGAAAGAUGUCAGAUAUGGCAGAGGUGUGUCCCCCACAGCAGGAGAAUGUAAUAGCUGAAACAUUCGCACUUUGUAUUCCAAGUACUUUCUGUACUUUAACUCAUUCAUGCUCAUAGAAACGCUUGGCACAGAUAAGGAAACUGACAGUCCGAGAGGUUAAGAAAACUUGUCCCAGGUUACACAGCUUGUAAGCCACGGCUCCGUAUUUGAUCCUCUGGGAAUUUGCUCCAGUCUGUGCUCUUAACUAUUGCCCCAUGCUGCUGUAAAAGCUGGUCCUGGGCUUGGGAGCAGGAGCUUGGAGAGUAUUGGCAGGAACAAUAUGAAAUCCAAACACUCAGAGGGGAUGGGGGAAAAAAUCUCCAGUUCAGAAAUUCCAAAGCAGAGGAGGCUGUGUAAAGAUGGCCUCACCGAGGGUCCCCACGCCCCGCCCCUACCCCUGCCGCACCCACGCUGACGCCGGAGCAGUAGACACAUUGGCAUGAAACGUUUCUUCAGAAGCAGGGCUUGAAGUGCCAUGCCCUCUGCCUCCCACGACCUCACGCCCCUGCAUGCCCAUGGGGCAGCCUGAGUGUCACUGGGCCAUCAGGUGCUCCUGGAAUUCAGAAAGGGGGGAG